CAGAAUCUGAGCAGAAUUUAGCUUAAGUUCUUCAAUUUGCCCUUGAAGUUCUUCAACCUGUUUCUUGAGCUCUUUGUUCUGCUGCUCCAGCUCUUCAACCUGUUUUCGGAGUUGUUCGUUGGUCUCUUGAGCAUGGAGAAGGUCGUCAGUAACCUUCUUGGAUUCCGUUUGAGCUUGGGCCAACUCGGCAGCCAUCUUUCCUUUCUCCUUGUUUGCCUCGGCGAGAUCAGCCAUGGCGUCGUCCCUCGCUUUUUCUACUUGCCCAAGUAGCUUCUCGCGGUCGAUCGACCUCUGCUCCAGUUUUUG
This 306-nucleotide long non-coding RNA is filed under the name Phaseolus vulgaris (common bean). RNAcentral's name for it is "long non-coding RNA (PVUL_LNC000151)". Lineage: Eukaryota; Viridiplantae; Streptophyta; Magnoliopsida; Fabales; Fabaceae. The record is from RNAcentral.